GACGAACGCUGGCGGCGUGCCUAAUACAUGCAAGUCGAACGCAGUGGGGACGGGUGAGUAACACGUGGGUAACCUCCCAUCAGAGGGGAUAACACUUGGAAACAGGUGCUAAACCGAUACUGAUGGAUGAACCCGCGGUGCAUUAGCUAGUUGUUGAGGUAACGGCUCACCAAGGCCACGAUGCAUAGCCGGUCUGUGAGGGUGAUAGGCCACACGGGGACUGAGGCAGGGCCCAAGCUCCUACGGAGGCCAGCAGUAGGGAAUCUUCGGCUAUGGACGAAAGUCUGACCGGGCAACGCCGCGAGAGUGACGAAGGUUAUCGAAUCGUAAAACUCUGUUGUUCGAGAAGCGGUAUCUAACCAGAAAGCCGCGGCUAACUUCGUGCCAGCAGCCGCGGUAAUUC
RNAcentral lists this ribosomal RNA (403 nucleotides) under uncultured bacterium. RNAcentral describes it as "partial 16S ribosomal RNA". It matches the Rfam family "Bacterial small subunit ribosomal RNA", at positions 28 to 526 of the family's 1533-position model. The record is from RNAcentral.